AAAUUGAAGAGUUUGAUCAUGGCUCAGAUUGAACGCUGGCGGCAGGCCUAACACAUGCAAGUCGAACGGUAGCACAGGAGAGCUUGCUCUCUGGGUGACGAGUGGCGGACGGGUGAGUAAUGUCUGGGAAACUGCCCGAUGGAGGGGGAUAACUACUGGAAACGGUAGCUAAUACCGCAUAAUGUCGCAAGACCAAAGAGGGGGACCUUCGGGCCUCUUGCCAUCGGAUGUGCCCAGAUGGGAUUAGCUAGUAGGUGGGGUAACGGCUCACCUAGGCGACGAUCCCUAGCUGGUCUGAGAGGAUGACCAGCCACACUGGAACUGAGACACGGUCCAGACUCCUACGGGAGGCAGCAGUGGGGAAUAUUGCACAAUGGGCGCAAGCCUGAUGCAGCCAUGCCGCGUGUAUGAAGAAGGCCUUCGGGUUGUAAAGUACUUUCAGCGGGGAGGAAGGGGUUAAGGUUAAUAACCUUAGCCAUUGACGUUACCCGCAGAAGAAGCACCGGCUAACUCCGUGCCAGCAGCCGCGGUAAUACGGAGGGUGCAAGCGUUAAUCGGAAUUACUGGGCGUAAAGCGCACGCAGGCGGUCUGUCAAGUCGGAUGUGAAAUCCCCGGGCUCAACCUGGGAACUGCAUCCGAAACUGGCAGGCUAGAGUCCUUGUAGAGGGGGGUAGAAUUCCAGGUGUAGCGGUGAAAUGCGUAGAGAUCUGGAGGAAUACCGGUGGCGAAGGCGGCCCCCUGGACAAAGACUGACGCUCAGGUGCGAAAGCGUGGGGGAGCAAACAGGAUUAGAUACCCUGGUAGUCCACGCCGUAAACGAUGUCGACUUGGAGGUUGUUCCCUUGAGGAGUGGCUUCCGGAGCUAACGCGUUAAGUCGACCGCCUGGGGAGUACGGCCGCAAGGUUAAAACUCAAAUGAAUUGACGGGGGCCCGCACAAGCGGUGGAGCAUGUGGUUUAAAUUCGAUGCAACGCGAAGAACCUUACCUACUCUUGACAUCCACGGAAUUUAGCAGAGAUGCUUUAGUGCCUUCGGGAACCGUGAGACAGGUGCUGCAUGGCUGUCGUCAGCUCGUGUUGUGAAAUGUUGGGUUAAGUCCCGCAACGAGCGCAACCCUUAUCCUUUGUUGCCAGCGGUUCGGCCGGGAACUCAAAGGAGACUGCCAGUGAUAAACUGGAGGAAGGUGGGGGAUGACGUCAAGUCAUCAUGGCCCUUACGAGUAGGGCUACACACGUGCUACAAUGGCAUAUACAAAGAGAAGCGACCUCGCGAGAGCAAGCGGACCUCAUAAAGUAUGUCGUAGUCCGGAUCGGAGUCUGCAACUCGACUCCCGUGAAGUCGGAAUCGCUAGUAAUACGUGGAUCAGAAUGCCACGGUGAAUACGUUCCCGGGCCUUGUACACACCGCCCGUCACCCCAUGGGAGUGGGUUGCAAAAGAAGUAGGUAGCUUAACCUUCGGGAGGGCGCUUACCACUUUGUGAUUCAUGACUGGGGUGAAGUCGUAACAAGGUAACCGUAGGGGAACCUGCGGUUGGAUCACCUCCUUA
RNAcentral lists this ribosomal RNA (1548 nucleotides) under Citrobacter enshiensis. RNAcentral describes it as "bacterial SSU rRNA". It matches the Rfam family "Bacterial small subunit ribosomal RNA". The record is from RNAcentral. Lineage: Bacteria; Pseudomonadati; Pseudomonadota; Gammaproteobacteria; Enterobacterales; Enterobacteriaceae.